This 76-nucleotide transfer RNA is filed under the name Candidatus Pelagibacter sp. RNAcentral's name for it is "tRNA-Lys". It matches the Rfam family "tRNA". Rfam says of the family: Transfer RNA (tRNA) molecules are approximately 80 nucleotides in length. Their secondary structure includes four short double-helical elements and three loops (D, anti-codon, and T loops). Further hydrogen bonds mediate the characteristic L-shaped molecular structure. tRNAs have two regions of fundamental functional importance: the anti-codon, which is responsible for specific mRNA codon recognition, and the 3' end, to which the tRNAs corresponding amino acid is attached (by aminoacyl-tRNA synthetases). tRNAs cope with the degeneracy of the genetic code in two manners: having more than one tRNA (with a specific anti-codon) for a particular amino acid; and 'wobble' base-pairing, i.e. permitting non-standard base-pairing at the 3rd anti-codon position. Lineage: Bacteria; Pseudomonadati; Pseudomonadota; Alphaproteobacteria; Candidatus Pelagibacterales; Candidatus Pelagibacteraceae. RNAcentral also lists the same sequence under 1 other name. The record is from RNAcentral.
GGGCGCCUAGCUCAGUUGGUAGAGCAGCUGACUCUUAAUCAGCGGGUCACAGGUUCGAUCCCUGUGGCGCCCACCA